RNAcentral lists this long non-coding RNA (1860 nucleotides) under Canis lupus familiaris (dog). RNAcentral's name for it is "lncRNA (ENSCAFG00040012164.1)". The record is from RNAcentral. Lineage: Eukaryota; Metazoa; Chordata; Mammalia; Carnivora; Canidae.
AUGAUUUCUCCUGAUUUUUCUGUUUCCAUAUCUUUCUUUCUUUCUUUUUUUUUUUUUUUUUUUUUUAAUCUCUUGCUUUUUUACAUAGUGGCUUAUAUUUUUAAAAAACCACCAAGCUUCUCAAACAAAAUGUGUCUGUGGGCAAAUUCUGCCCACAGAUCACCGAUUUGAAAACCUUGUUCUUGUGUUUUCACAUGCUUCCUGCAGAUUCCCCCGUGGACAAAUAAGUAGUUCAAUCUCUGGUUCAAAAACAAAGGCCCUUGACUUUCUUUUCUCAGAGGGAACUUCCAGUACAGCAGCCUGCCCUCUCAGCCACCAGAACAUUUACCAGUCAUCUGCCCCUUACACCAUCAUGACUUUGAGACUGGCCUUGAGGACACAUUUUUAAUUCUAAAUCUCCAGGGCUAAUUUUCCCAAAGGGUUUCUGCAGCCCAGCCUGAACACAUUUAUCUUAUCUUCAAGAGCCGCACAGAGAGUCACUGUGCCCAUAAUAACAGAACCACUCUCCUGUGAUUGCUCCCACCUCAUCCUCCCUACGAGCUUUGAUGUAGAGCUUUAGGAUUGCCUCAGGGCUGGAAAGAUAUGGGAGAAGGGAUCAAGCUCUAGAGUUUGGGGAAAUUUUCCAGAGAAUACUUGAAAAUGGGAGCAGUCUGGGCUUGAAGCCAGGAAGCUUGAGUUUGAGUCUUCGUUUUGUCACUUAUUCAUUGUGUGGCUCUGGGCGAGUCAUUGCCAGUUAAAUACCCAUUUGCUCAUCUUGACAGUGCAGAAUCCGAUGAGAAUACUCCUAAUGGCAGGCCUUCUGGCCCUUAUUGUUGAGAUUCUCUUAUCCUUAUGUGAAUGGACAUAGAGAAGGCCACUCUCGGUGAGCACGCUACGGAUUGACACAUGGCAGAUUUAAAUGACAACCACAGAGCAGGGUGGCAUCCUCUAAAGGCAUCAUAUUCUUUAUCAGUUCAUCAGAGGACAAUGCACAUAUUUGUCAGAAUAAGUUCUUAUCCUCAAAUGCCUGAAUCAGAGUGAGGCCAGGCAGCAUGGGACCUGGAAACGUGAACGUCUGGGUAUUUACUUUUCUCUCCAUGUGAGUCAAGUUAGCAAUCCCAGGUGAUAGAUGCUCUGAUGUGAAAGGACAAGAGGCCAUGGGAGCACAGAGGGCAGGUUAUAACCCAGGGUUAAGAGGAGUCCAGAAAGUCUUUGAGGAUGAAAUAACUUUUAAGUAGUGGACCUAAGCAGUUAGGUCCUUAAAAAUAAAAGACGGUUAUUUUGCCAGCAAACAUGGGUUUAUCAUUUGGGGCAUGUAAACCAUUGGCAAAAGCAUAGACAAGUUUAAUAAACAAAGGAAAUGACUGUUAUUUUUAUGCCAUACCAUCACAAACAUAUUAAGCCAUGAACUUCUAUGACUAGUUCCUUGGUUCAUUCAUUUAUUCAUCCAUCUGUACAUCUCAUUCACCCAGUCACCCACCCAUUGAUCUAUUUAUUUAUACACCUGUCUCCCAUCCAAGAAAUAAUGUGGUGGUUUCAACCUUGGCAGCUAAUUAGAAUUACAUGAAGGGACUGUUAAUAUCCCAGGGCUUAGACUGCAUCCCAGACCAGCUAAAUCAGAAUCUCUAAAGGGUAGGACCUGGACAUGAGUAUUUUUAAAAUCUGCCCCCCAAAUUGCAAUGUGUAGCCAUGUUCAAGAACCACUGAAAUGAUGUGUUAAUUUACAUACCCAUCAGCCUAACCAAAGUCCUACAAUCUGCUGCUCCACUUUCCCCUCAUUGCCCUGCAUCCUGGCCUGUCUGUUCCAGGCCUAUGACUUGUGAGAGACUGGAUAGUCAGACUAAACCACCUGCAAUUCAGACUAAACCACCUGCAAUCUUU